CUGCAGACCUACCAGCAAGACUAAGCCCACACUGGCUCUGUUCUUUCCUUAAGUGUCUGCAAGAGAGACGUGAGGCUGUUUGAGGCCCUGCUUGUGACUAUUAGCAGGCAGGGUUAUAGGUACACCUCCAACAAGA
This is a small nucleolar RNA of Dunckerocampus dactyliophorus (ringed pipefish), 136 nucleotides long. RefSeq annotates it as small nucleolar RNA SNORA9. NCBI's taxonomy places the organism in Eukaryota, Metazoa, Chordata, Actinopteri, Syngnathiformes, Syngnathidae. The transcript has a single exon. The record is from RefSeq and is a predicted model, not a curated record.